This 532-nucleotide ribosomal RNA is filed under the name uncultured bacterium. Its description in RNAcentral is "bacterial SSU rRNA". It matches the Rfam family "Bacterial small subunit ribosomal RNA", at positions 777 to 1310 of the family's 1533-position model. The record is from RNAcentral.
AAUAGAUACCCCGGUAGUCCACGCCCUAAACGAUGUCUACUAGUUGUCGGGUCUUCAUUGACUUGGUAACGCAGCUAACGCGUGAAGUAGACCGCCUGGGGAGUACGGUCGCAAGAUUAAAACUCAAAGGAAUUGACGGGGACCCGCACAAGCGGUGGAUGAUGUGGAUUAAUUCGAUGCAACGCGAAAAACCUUACCUACCCUUGACAUGGUCGGAACCCUGAAGAGAUUCGGGGGUGCUCGAAAGAGAACCGAUACACAGGUGCUGCAUGGCUGUCGUCAGCUCGUGUCGUGAGAUGUUGGGUUAAGUCCCGCAACGAGCGCAACCCUUGUCAUUAGUUGCUACGAAAGGGCACUCUAAUGAGACUGCCGGUGACAAACCGGAGGAAGGUGGGGAUGACGUCAAGUCCUCAUGGCCCUUAUGGGUAGGGCUUCACACGUCAUACAAUGGUGCAUACAGAGGGUUGCCAAACCCGGCGAGGGGGGAGCCCAAUCCCAGAAAGUGCAUCGUAGUCCGGAUUGCAGUCUGCAA